GACGUAGGGCGCGAGCGUUGUCCGGAUUUAUUGGGCGUAAAGAGCUCGUAGGCGGCUUGUCGCGUCGUCCGUGAAAACCUGCGGCUCAACUGCAGGCUGGCGGUCGAUACGGGCAGGCUGGAGUUCGGUAGGGGAGACUGGAAUUCCUGGUGUAGCGGUGAAAUGCGCAGAUAUCAGGAGGAACACCGGUGGUGUAGACGGCUCUCUGGACCGUAACUGACGCUGAGACACGAAAGCGUGGGUAGCAAACAGG
Molecule: ribosomal RNA, 253 nt
Filed under: uncultured bacterium
Lineage: Bacteria
Description: partial 16S ribosomal RNA
Rfam family: Bacterial small subunit ribosomal RNA
Source: RNAcentral